Molecule: non-coding RNA, 119 nt
Organism: Picea glauca (white spruce)
Lineage: Eukaryota; Viridiplantae; Streptophyta; Pinopsida; Pinales; Pinaceae
Source: Rfam
CAUAAAUACAACAUAACAUUAAUGCACCAAAUCCCAUUAGAACUCUGCAGUUAAGUGUGCUCGUGCUAGAGUAGUAUUGGGAUGGGUGACCACCUGGGAAGUCCUAGUGUUUGACAUGC